GUGAUCACUUUGGGAGCAGAUAUACUAAAAUUGGAACAAUACAGAGCAAAUUAGCAUGGCCGCUGCACAAAGACACGUGAAAAUUUACUUUUU
This 93-nucleotide small nuclear RNA is filed under the name Nannospalax galili (Upper Galilee mountains blind mole rat). Lineage: Eukaryota; Metazoa; Chordata; Mammalia; Rodentia; Spalacidae. The record is from RNAcentral.